ACUAGCUAGCUUAUUCGCUCCAUCCCCACAUGGUUUCUUCCCCCACCGGCGCCGCCCCACCCCCAAGCUUCUUCCCGAGCUGGGUUUCUUCCCCAGCCGGCGCCAACCCAGCCCCAUCCGGCUUCUGCACCACCGGUGCCGCCACCACUAGGCAAUGACCUUACCGUGCCUAGCUCCUCCUCCUCCCCGUGGUCAUGGCGCCACCACGUCCCGUCCGGUGCAUUGCCCCAGCCCGGAUUUGCAUCCACAGCGGCCAGAUCCGCCUUCCAACCCCGACCUCCCUACCGGAACCUUCAUCUCGCAGCCGGCGGAGGCCCCGCCGACGGAAACGCCCCCGGUGGUUGGUCGUACAUCGCACCACCAACAACCUUGGCUUCCAGGGUCCCCCGUCUCCUUCCAUGGCGACCUCUGCUGUGUGGGACUUGGACCACCCCACCACCAGAUCCGUCCAGGGGAGGCAGAGGAGCUCCGGGCAGGGGUGCUCAAAGCCGCCACCAUCGACCACACGCGGUCACCACCUCCGUGCAGGGGCAGAUCCCCCGGGUGCUCUUCCCCCUAUCUUCACCAUCGUGGUACUCAAGCGCAAUAGAGACAGUGGUGGCGACCUUCUGCCUACUUCCCUCUUGGGAUUCCAUGGCGAUGAAGUAGGCGAGCUGCUCUUUUGUCGCUCAUGGGUGAGCGCGUGACGGGGCUGCUACUGGUCCGAGCUACCACCACCUCUCAUCCCGACGACAUCUACCUAUGUUUCGAGACACCUCACCUUCCGCUCAGUCUGGGUGUCUGUGGUGCAGUAUAGCCACAGUGGACGUGCGGUUCCGUGCUCGUGUAGGUGCGGGUCGUGGGCGCACCAGCGACGACGACAACAACGCCUUAAUCUCCCGCGAGUUCCCGUGCAGUUUGAACUCCCGCUUGUGCAGUACAGUUGACUAGUGUUAGGCGUAGUUUGUGGAUUGCAGGUUCAAUUCAAUGUUUGCUGAGUUCAAUGGAAUGUCAGGGUGCGGACUGUAGGUUCUUUGAGUGGCAUGAUGAUCCAAAUACUCCAUUUCUGAAUUCUCUGCUCGGUAACUUGCGUGAUACCGUGUAUCAUCUGAAAACAGAGAAGAAACAGUUGGAGGAAUCUCGAAUACAAGUUGAAGCUCGCAUGGACAAGGCUAUAGAUGUGGAGAUGGGCACGCAACAGAAGUAGAAGAAAUUCAUAGGAAAUUGAAAAAGAUUUAGAGAGAUGUGGCAGUUUGUCGAGAAAGAUGUGCCAGUAUGUCCAGACAUGUUUGUAUGUUCAGAAAAUUGUUUGUGGAGUUCAAAAUUUUGUAUGUUACUGAAGACCAACUGAAGGAAAAUUUGCUAUUUGCAGUACUGGCUUACACAGUACAUUUUUUUUGCUAUCUGACUAUAGAUGAUCUGAAUAGAAAUUGUGCUAUCUAUUUCA
Triticum dicoccoides is the source of this 1426-nucleotide long non-coding RNA. RefSeq lists it as uncharacterized. NCBI's taxonomy places the organism in Eukaryota, Viridiplantae, Streptophyta, Magnoliopsida, Poales, Poaceae. The transcript is spliced from 2 exons. The record is from RefSeq and is a predicted model, not a curated record.